GACGAACGCUGGCGGCGUGCUUAACACAUGCAAGUCGAACGGAAAGGCCCUGCUUUUGUGGGGUGCUCGAGUGGCGAACGGGUGAGUAACACGUGAGUAACCUGCCCUUGACUUUGGGAUAACUUCAGGAAACUGGGGCUAAUACCGGAUAGGAGCUCCUGCUGCAUGGUGGGGGUUGGAAAGUUUCGGCGGUUGGGGAUGGACUCGCGGCUUAUCAGCUUGUUGGUGGGGUAGUGGCUUACCAAGGCUUUGACGGGUAGCCGGCCUGGGAGGGUGACCGGCCACAUUGGGACUGAGGGACGGCCCAGACUCCUACGGGAGGCAGCAGUGGGGAAUAUUGCACAAUGGGCGGAGGCCUGAUGCAGCAACGCCGCGUGCGGGAUGACGGCCUUCGGGUUGUAAACCGCUUUCGCCUGUGACGAAGCGUGAGUGACGGUAAUGGGUAAAGAAGCACCGGCUAACUACGUG
This 468-nucleotide ribosomal RNA is filed under the name uncultured bacterium. Its description in RNAcentral is "partial 16S ribosomal RNA". It matches the Rfam family "Bacterial small subunit ribosomal RNA", at positions 28 to 507 of the family's 1533-position model. The record is from RNAcentral.